This 567-nucleotide long non-coding RNA is filed under the name Limulus polyphemus (Atlantic horseshoe crab). RNAcentral describes it as "uncharacterized LOC111088256, transcript variant X2". Lineage: Eukaryota; Metazoa; Arthropoda; Merostomata; Xiphosura; Limulidae. The record is from RNAcentral.
CGAGGGUCUGCAGACAACGUCACACAAAGUUAGCUUGUGCAAACAGCGACGGCUCGUGAGGCACGCUAUUCAUUCUCUAACGAAAUCACAGCUGAGUUGGAAGACUUAAGAUUCUUCUGAAAGACUUAUAUUUAUAACUUCGAAGGUCGAAAGGUUAUGAAGAAACUCAUCGAAUAGCAAAUUCUACGUCAGUUUUUCCAUUCCAAUAUUGUUCGAAAGUGCUUCCAAGUCGGUCGUGAGAAAACCCCUGGAAGUUACCAGGACGUCUACAUCUUGAAGAGACUCUUCAGUUUAUAAGAUCUGUCUGACGGUGGCGUCAUCAUGUGAGAUAAGCACAGUCCCUACUUGGCUGUGGUCUAUUUUAAAUGGCUAGGUAAUCCAUGGACCAUUCACAAAACGGGUCAAAAAGACUGACAAGCGACGUAGGGCAAGCACAACCGCAGGGAGAAAUGGACGCAUUACUACUGGGACGAACAAAGGCUCUUUAUAUUGGUAUGAUACUUGAGAAAUACUGGUCAGGUUUACUACUCCUCUCGUGUUUGUAAAUAGUAAGUCUCCAAAUUUGUA